UGCUGGAGGUAUCAGAAGUGCGAAUGCUGACAUAAGUAACGAUAAAGCGGGUGAAAAGCCCGCUCGCCGGAAGACCAAGGGUUCCUGUCCAACGUUAAUCGGGGCAGGGUGAGUCGACCCCUAAGGCGAGGCCGAAAGGCGUAGUCGAUGGGAAACAGGUUAAUAUUCCUGUACUUGGUGUUACUGCGAAGGGGGGACGGAGAAGGCUAUGUUAGCCGGGCGACGGUUGUCCCGGUUUAAGCAUGUAGGCUGGUUGUCCAGGCAAAUCCGGAUAAUCAAGGCUGAGGUGUGAUGACGAGGCACUACGGUGCUGAAGUAACAAAUGCCCUGCUUCCAGGAAAAGCCUCUAAGCAUCAGGUAACAUCAAAUCGUACCCCAAACCGACACAGGUGGUCAGGUAGAGAAUACCAAGGCGCUUGAGAGAACUCGGGUGAAGGAACUAGGCAAAAUGGUGCCGUAACUUCGGGAGAAGGCACGCUGGUGUGUAGGUGAAGUCCCUGCGGAUGGAGCUGAGACCAGUCGAAGAUACCAGCUGGCUGCAACUGUUUAUUAAAAACACAGCACUGUGCAAACACGAAAGUGGACGUAUACGGUGUGACGCCUGCCCGGUGCCGGAAGGUUAAUUGAUGGGGUUAUCCGUAAGGAGAAGCUCUUGAUCGAAGCCCCGGUAAACGGCGGCCGUAACUAUAACGGUCCUAAGGUAGCGAAAUUCCUUGUCGGGUAAGUUCCGACCUGCACGAAUGGCGUAAUGAUGGCCAGGCUGUCUCCACCCGAGACUCAGUGAAAUUGAACUCGCUGUGAAGAUGCAGUGUACCCGCGGCAAGACGGAAAGACCCCGUGAACCUUUACUAUAGCUUGACACUGAACAUUGAGCCUUGAUGUGUAGGAUAGGUGGGAGGCUUUGAAGCGUGGACGCCAGUCUGCGUGGAGCCAACCUUGAAAUACCACCCUUUAAUGUUUGAUGUUCUAACGUUGGCCCCUUACCGGGGUUGCGGACAGUGUCUGGUGGGUAGUUUGACUGGGGCGGUCUCCUCCCAAAGCGUAACGGAGGAGCACGAAGGUUAGCUAAUCCUGGUCGGACAUCAGGAGGUUAGUGCAAUGGCAUAAGCUAGCUUGACUGCGAGCGUGACGGCGCGAGCAGGUGCGAAAGCAGGUCAUAGUGAUCCGGUGGUUCUGAAUGGAAGGGCCAUCGCUCAACGGAUAAAAGGUACUCCGGGGAUAACAGGCUGAUACCGCCCAAGAGUUCAUAUCGACGGCGGUGUUUGGCACCUCGAUGUCGGCUCAUCACAUCCUGGGGCUGAAGUAGGUCCCAAGGGUAUGGCUGUUCGCCAUUUAAAGUGGUACGCGAGCUGGGUUUAGAACGUCGUGAGACAGUUCGGUCCCUAUCUGCCGUGGGCGCUGGAGAAUUGAGGGGGGCUGCUCCUAGUACGAGAGGACCGGAGUGGACGCAUCACUGGUGUUCGGGUUGUCAUGCCAAUGGCACUGCCCGGUAGCUAAAUGCGGAAGAG
Molecule: ribosomal RNA, 1508 nt
Filed under: Klebsiella pneumoniae
Lineage: Bacteria; Pseudomonadati; Pseudomonadota; Gammaproteobacteria; Enterobacterales; Enterobacteriaceae
Also listed under: 1 other name
Description: partial 23S ribosomal RNA
Rfam family: Bacterial large subunit ribosomal RNA
Source: RNAcentral